UUGCAAUGAUGUGACUUUUAUCCCUGAAUCCAACCUUGAAGUGCAAACUAAAUGAGCUUUUUAACCCUGAGCAGU
This is a small nucleolar RNA of Suncus etruscus (white-toothed pygmy shrew), 75 nucleotides long. NCBI's taxonomy places the organism in Eukaryota, Metazoa, Chordata, Mammalia, Eulipotyphla, Soricidae. The record is from RefSeq and is a predicted model, not a curated record.